AAACCAGCACCUCAAGUGGUCAGGAUGAUUAUUGGGCCUAAAGCAUCCGUAGCCUGCUCUGUAAGUUUUCGGUUAAAUCUGUAUGCUCAACAUACAGGCUGCCGGGAAUACUGCAGAGCUAGGGAGUGGGAGAGGUAGACGGUACUCGGGAGGAAGUGGUAAAAUGCUUUGAUCUCUCGAUGACCACCUGUGGCGAAGGCGGUCUACCAGAACACGUCCGACGGUGAGGGAUGAAAGCUGGGGGAGCAAACCGGAUUAGAAACCCGAGUAGUCC
RNAcentral lists this ribosomal RNA (274 nucleotides) under uncultured bacterium. RNAcentral describes it as "partial 16S ribosomal RNA". It matches the Rfam family "Archaeal small subunit ribosomal RNA", at positions 473 to 747 of the family's 1478-position model. The record is from RNAcentral.